Long non-coding RNA from Oncorhynchus tshawytscha (Chinook salmon), 264 nucleotides. RefSeq lists it as uncharacterized. The transcript is spliced from 2 exons. Lineage: Eukaryota; Metazoa; Chordata; Actinopteri; Salmoniformes; Salmonidae. The record is from RefSeq and is a predicted model, not a curated record.
AUUGAGAUAUUGCUUUGAACAGGUACAAUAGUCGCUUGGUCAGACGUUAGGCGUUCAGUAGUCAACUGUUUAGUAACAUUUACUGUGGUAUUGAAUGUAGUUGGCUUUUGAACAGGUACAGUAGUCAGUGGGUCAGAGGUUAGGAGUCUGGUAGACAGCUGUCCAGUAGAAACACGCACUGUGGUAUUGGAUGUAGUUGGUUUUUUAACAGGUACAGUAGUCAGAGGGUCAGAGGUUAGGAGUCUGGUAGACAGCUGUCCAGUA